RNAcentral lists this ribosomal RNA (496 nucleotides) under uncultured bacterium. RNAcentral describes it as "partial 16S ribosomal RNA". It matches the Rfam family "Bacterial small subunit ribosomal RNA", at positions 29 to 507 of the family's 1533-position model. The record is from RNAcentral.
AUGGACGCUGGCGGCGUGCCUAAUACAUGCAAGUCGAGCGAACGGACGAGAAGCUUGCUUCUCUGAUGUUAGCGGCGGACGGGUGAGUAACACGUGGAUAACCUACCUAUAAGACUGGGAUAACUUCGGGAAACCGGAGCUAAUACCGGAUAAUAUUUUGAACCGCAUGGUUCAAAAGUGAAAGACGGUCUUGCUGUCACUUAUAGAUGGAUCCGCGCUGCAUUAGCUAGUUGGUAAGGUAACGGCUUACCAAGGCAACGUUGCAUAGCCGACCUGAGAGGGUGAUCGGCCACACUGGAACUGAGACACGGUCCAGACUCCUACGGGAGGCAGCAGUAGGGAAUCUUCCGCAAUGGGCGAAAGCCUGACGGAGCAACGCCGCGUGAGUGAUGAAGGUCUUCGGAUCGUAAAACUCUGUUAUUAGGGAAGAACAUAUGUGUAAGUAACUGUGCACAUCUUGACGGUACCUAAUCAGAAAGCCACGGCUAACUACGUG